Molecule: long non-coding RNA, 854 nt
Filed under: Homo sapiens (human)
Lineage: Eukaryota; Metazoa; Chordata; Mammalia; Primates; Hominidae
Description: HSALNT0061540
Source: RNAcentral
GUCUCAAAUGUGCUGUGCAAAUAGCUUGCAGAGGCCAUGAGGACGUCACAUUUUUGUAAGAGAGCGAGCGCUAGAUCUGAGUUUUGAGGAGUUCCUUCUACCAUCGUGGGACACGGUGAGAGAUGAGUGGUUGGGGAGGUCAGAGCUGGGGGGAAACCUCCUGCCAUGGCCCAGAGAGAGGGACCAGGCAUGGACUGGAGAGAAACGGAUGGCUGCCCUGAGCCUCACAGAUGACCCUUCAUCCUCCUCCUCCUUGGCUGGCAGGCAUAAAGCAGAUCAACCAAGGUCCAGGGGAGGAGGGGCGCUUCCAGAGCCCUCCCGGGGUUUCUUUUCUUUCUCCGUUUUCCCUUCUUCCUUCCCCAUUUCCUUCCCUUAUCAUUGAGUGUCCCCUAACCACCCCCCUUCCCCCACCUCAGGCCUGUCUGGCUUCGCUGGCUGAGCGGCCCUUGUGGUGGUUAUGGCAGGUGUGAGGCUUUAGAGGCCAUCCUGCCCUCAACAAGGGGAUGGCUGUGGAGCAUCAUCCCAAUUCUGCAGCCUCUCAUCUGAAGCUCAGGCCAUCAGGAGGGAGCCCUCAGGCUUCUCUCUGACGUUUCUUCCAUUUGUCAACCUCUCAGCUCCUCAGCUCAGGUCACAGACAAGGUGGAGGAGCCCCCAGCACGUUUAGGCAGGCUCUUUCCCUGUCACCCCUCACCACCCCGCACCAUACACUAACCUGGAGGUCUCCUGGGUACUUUGCCAAGUCAGGGAAUGAGAAAGGUCUGACCCUGUGGCUUCAGGCUAGAACUCUCCCCCAUCUACUUGGCUCUGGUCCCUGAGCCAGCUGCCCAUCCUUCCAGGGCACAGUGGAUGCAAAC